CAACGUCAACACCCGGAACUCUAUUGCAGCCAAUGAGCUCGAGUUGAAAAAGAAAAUAGCUUACAGCACGUGGUUUCACUCAGAUCCAUGCCAUCGCCAGGGAGACCUUUACCUGUGAUGUCUGCGGGAAGAGCUUGGCCACUAAACCAUCGCUGGUCAGCCAUCAACAGCUACACCAGUACCCCAACAUCAUUUUGUACCGGCAAGGAGAGGCCAGGCUGUACUGUACAAAGGCAGCAAGGUCUGUGGCAGAGGCCCGCAGCAGCACUGUUGUUGACCCUAAAUGGCUGGAUCUCAAGACAGCAGAGGCGGCUGCCAAGAGGUCGGGGGCUGAGCUGUGGAAAGGUCAGCUGGUCAUCACGUUCGGGUAGUACGCCGGUCAGACCUUCAGGUGGCUUGUGGAGAAUGAUGUCGGCUGGCUGGUGUGGCUGCUGUUCCAGUACUGCCAGCAGGGAGAGCAGAACGAGCUGCUGAAGUGGCAGAAGGAGCGACUGCUCCUUCGGCCACAAGGUGACUCCUCACCUGAAAGUGCUGUCGGACGCACCGUUCCCGGAGGCUCCUGCGCUGCCAACAUCCCUCCCUCCGCCAGACCGGCCUCAGGUCCAGUACCGGCUCAUCCAUCACGAGGCUGGAAAGAGACGUGGUGAGAAGCGGAGAUUAUUUGUUGAUGAGCCACAGCCUGUGACUCCCGCGAACCGACCCGUUCAGCCCACUGGGUUGUCGUCCUCCACCCGGCCGAAGCCUGCUGCGCUCACCCCCAUUCUGCCGAGGCCUUCUGCGCCCACCCACCUCCAGCCGAGGCCACCCGCUGCGUUGACCUACGGCCCACCCCCUGUGUCGGCAGCACCCAUACUGCAGGUCUUCCCCGCACAGCCACAGGCGCCCUCCGUCCUGUUUCGUGGGACAUCCUGCAGCCAGAGCUUUGUCCCUCCUGCACCAACAGUGAAGGCAUUCAUGCCUAACAAGUCCUCAAGGCCAUGUGGGGCUUGCCACAUGCCAAACUGUGGUGGACAGUGGAAGAGGUACAACCCUUUCAAGGACAAAGUGGCUGGAAGCAUUCAGAAAAUGUUUUCCUACUGUCCAUCCACUAGGAAGUCCACUACCCCUGGCUUCGACAAUGUGGUGCAUGACAACUUUGAACUCUUUAAGAGUGUCGUGGAUGCAGAGUUGGAAAGGAGGACUGUGUGUGUGUGUGUGUGUGUGUGUGUGUGUGUGUGUGUGUGUGUGUGUGUGUGU
This is a long non-coding RNA of Gadus morhua (Atlantic cod), 1236 nucleotides long. RefSeq lists it as uncharacterized. The transcript has 3 exons. Lineage: Eukaryota; Metazoa; Chordata; Actinopteri; Gadiformes; Gadidae. The record is from RefSeq and is a predicted model, not a curated record.